UACGUAGGGCGCAAGCGUUAUCCGGAAUUAUUGGGCGUAAAGGGCGCGUAGGCGGCUUGGCAAGUGGAUGGUGGAAUCCCUCGGCUUAACCGAGGAACUGCCGUCCAAACUGCUUUGCUUGAGACCGGGAGAGGUGAGUGGAAUUCCCAGUGUAGCGGUGAAAUGCGUAGAUAUUGGGAGGAACACCAGUGGCGAAGGCGGCUCACUGGACCGGUACUGACGCUGAGGCGCGAAAGCGUGGGGAGCAAACGGG
RNAcentral lists this ribosomal RNA (253 nucleotides) under uncultured bacterium. RNAcentral describes it as "partial 16S ribosomal RNA". It matches the Rfam family "Bacterial small subunit ribosomal RNA", at positions 524 to 776 of the family's 1533-position model. The record is from RNAcentral.